Long non-coding RNA from Asterias rubens (European starfish), 1313 nucleotides. RefSeq lists it as uncharacterized. NCBI's taxonomy places the organism in Eukaryota, Metazoa, Echinodermata, Asteroidea, Forcipulatida, Asteriidae. The transcript has 4 exons. The record is from RefSeq and is a predicted model, not a curated record.
GAAGCUAAACGAACGCACCCAGUGAAGGCCUAGAGUAUCAGUUUUGGCCUAGAGUAUUAGUUUUGGCAUAUAGAUAUAAGACUAACUCUCUACUCUUUCAACAGGUUUUGAUGGAGAUGGGUUAAGUAUAAGGUGUGACUUGCGUAGUACUUAGUCUUGAUUUCAAGACGCUCAAUCUAAUUUCAUUUGCGGUGACACAACUCACCCAAGGACAGUAAAACAAGAUCCAAAUAAAAUAAUGUCUUGAACCAAAACUAAAAACUUAGUCUCGUUUCAAGAUGUUCAAUCUCAUUUUAUUUGCGGUGCAACAACUCACAAUGGACGGUAAACACACUAUCCUAAAAAAAAUACAAGAUAAUGUCUUGAACCAAAACUAAGAACUACGCUGUCUUAAGUAAACGCAGAGCUUGAAGAUGGAGACAUUCCCUUCGAUGUCACUGAGUGACUAGAGGUCAAUGAGGUCAGCAGCUUCGAGCAAAGAGUCUGGACCCGUUCCUCCUGAAAAAGAUGUUGUGGCAGAUGACGUGCAGACGAAGCAGUCCUGAAACUCCCUUUGAUAUCGCCGAUUCAUGACCUGAUGUCACUGGGUUUGAUGAGGUCUUUGCAGCAAAGGUUUAUAAGUAUCAUAUUGAGUUCCAUCAGCUGAGGAAGAACUUUGCCAGUUAAAGCUCUUUGACUUUUUGCUACAACUUCAACCGUUCAAGAUAGCGAUGACCAGCACUAUUGGACCAGAGCAAAGAGUCACCAACAUCAUUUUGGUUGAGUUGAUGAUCUUGGAGAUGACAUUUGGGCUCAUCAUAACUUUUUGGACCGAGUGCACCAGCUGAAGGACUGCGUCAAAUCUAGCUACCUGACUCUCUGCUACAAGUUCAACCGUUCAAGUGACGAAGGGAUGUUGUCCGGGGAUUUAACCACCACUUUGUGGACUGAACAGCUGAAGAUCUGGGUCAUAGUUCAAGUAUCAAAGACAAUAAUAAUGAUAGAACACUUCUUAGAACAAACUCUCCUCCAAAGGUGAUUUUACACAUGGUUGUACCAUGGAACUUUACUAGUUGUAGUCAAUGGUUGAUUUCCACACCAUGCUAAGCUUCAAUGCUUUUUGGACCGUCACUGACUGAUGAAAGACUGUGUCAAGUCUAGGUGAUCACCCACAUGCUCAACUAACACGAGCUGGAUGAUGAGGGCGCCUGCUAUGAUGACGCUUGAGUGGAGGACCACAUACAUGAAGAACCAUAGGACCAGGGCCAAUUUCAUAGAGCUGCUUAACAAGAAAAUAUUGCUUAACAACUUUCUGCUAACAGAAAUGAGCAGGA